GCUUACCAUGCAGUCGAGGGGCAGCAUUUCAGUUUGCUUGCAAACUGGAGAUGGCGACCGGCGCACGGGUGAGUAACACGUAUCCAACCUGCCGAUAACUCGGGGAUAGCCUUUCGAAAGAAAGAUUAAUACCCGAUGGUAUAAUCAGACCGCAUGGUCUUGUUAUUAAAGAAUUUCGGUUAUCGAUGGGGAUGCGUUCCAUUAGGCAGUUGGUGAGGUAACGGCUCACCAAACCUUCGAUGGAUAGGGGUUCUGAGAGGAAGGUCCCCCACAUUGGAACUGAGACACGGUCCAAACUCCUACGGGAGGCAGCAGUGAGGAAUAUUGGUCAAUGGGCGCAGGCCUGAACCAGCCAAGUAGCGUGAAGGAUGACUGCCCUAUGGGUUGUAAACUUCUUUUAUAUGGGAAUAAAGUUUUCCACGUGUGGAAUUUUGUAUGUACCAUAUGAAUAAGGAUCGGCUAACUCCGUGCCAGCAGCCGCGGUAAUACGGAGGAUCCGAGCGUUAUCCGGAUUUAUUGGGUUUAAAGGGAGCGUAGGUGGACAGUUAAGUCAGUUGUGAAAGUUUGCGGCUCAACCGUAAAAUUGCAGUUGAUACUGGCUGUCUUGAGUACAGUAGAGGUGGGCGGAAUUCGUGGUGUAGCGGUGAAAUGCUUAGAUAUCACGAAGAACUCCGAUUGCGAAGGCAGCUCACUGGACUGCAACUGACACUGAUGCUCGAAAGUGUGGGUAUCAAACAGGAUUAGAUACCCUGGUAGUCCACACAGUAAACGAUGAAUACUCGCUGUUUGCGAUAUACAGUAAGCGGCCAAGCGAAAGCAUUAAGUAUUCCACCUGGGAGUACGCCGGCAACGGUGAAACUCAAAGGAAUUGACGG
Molecule: ribosomal RNA, 875 nt
Filed under: uncultured bacterium
Lineage: Bacteria
Description: bacterial SSU rRNA
Rfam family: Bacterial small subunit ribosomal RNA
Source: RNAcentral